Saccostrea echinata is the source of this 632-nucleotide long non-coding RNA. RefSeq lists it as uncharacterized. Lineage: Eukaryota; Metazoa; Mollusca; Bivalvia; Ostreida; Ostreidae. The transcript is spliced from 2 exons. The record is from RefSeq and is a predicted model, not a curated record.
AAUCGACAUGAAAGUAAGACGAGUACUUCUCUUUGCUGUUCCACCCAUUUUGCUUGUUUCCCCUUCUGUAGCUAACAGCUGUAAGUCAUAUUCGGAAGGUAGCUGUGGAAGAAAUGAUUGCAGAACAGAGCAAGACAAAACCACUGUGUCUUUUUACUCAUUCAUCUAGAAGAACUUUGCACUCCCACCUGCAGGAAGGACAUUUAUCUAUGAUGUAGUAGUGACCAACAACGGACAUGGAUACAGCAAGAAAACAGGAACCUUCACUGCCCCGCGGUCCGGGGUGUAUCUAUUUUUCUGGACUCUUGUGGCUGCUGGGCAACAUGUUGCGGGAACCAAGGGUGCCUUCGGGGAAAUAGCGACUCAUAUACUGCACAAUGAUAUAAUAAAGGGGACUGUUCAUGCUGAUACUGAAAAACAGGGAGAUGAUGGAACAUCCACAGGAUUUGUUAUAUUGAACCUGGAAAAGGACGAUGCCAUCAAAAUAUCAAGUGCCUGGAACGGACAAGGUUCUGCUUAUAGCAAUGAACAGUUUGGCAGAUGGUCAUUCUCUGGUUUUAAAAUAGCAUAAUUGUAGCACUAAUGAAUAAAAUGUUCCCAAAAAGUUCAAAGAAUAAAAUGAAUUUGAAUUG